CAAGACUUGACAUCCCGCUGACCGCUCUAGAGAUAGGGUUUCCCUUCGGGGCAGCGGUGACAGGUGGUGCAUGGUUGUCGUCAGCUCGUGUCGUGAGAUGUUGGGUUAAGUCCCGCAACGAGCGCAACCCCUAUGUUGUGUUGCCAUCAUUUAGUUGGGCACUUACAACAGACUGCCGGUGACAAACCGGAGGAAGGCGGGGAUGACGUCAAAUCAUCAUGCCCCUUAUGUCUUGGGCUACACACGUGCUACAAUGGGCGGUACAAAGAGACGCGAGACCGCGAGGUGGAGCCAAUCUCAUAAAGCCGUUCGUAGUUCGGAUUGCAGGCUGCAACUCGCCUGCAUGAAGCCGGAAUUGCUAGUAAUCGCGGAUCAGCAUGCCGCGGUGAAUUCGUUCCCGGGCCUUGUACACACCGCCCGUCACACCACGGGAGUUGGCAACACCCAAAGUCGGUGAGGUAACCUUCGGGAGCCAGCCGCCUAAGGUGGGGUCGAUGACUGGGGUG
RNAcentral lists this ribosomal RNA (506 nucleotides) under uncultured bacterium. Its description in RNAcentral is "bacterial SSU rRNA". It matches the Rfam family "Bacterial small subunit ribosomal RNA", at positions 975 to 1482 of the family's 1533-position model. The record is from RNAcentral.